RNAcentral lists this ribosomal RNA (692 nucleotides) under uncultured beta proteobacterium. RNAcentral's name for it is "bacterial SSU rRNA". It matches the Rfam family "Bacterial small subunit ribosomal RNA", at positions 67 to 756 of the family's 1533-position model. Lineage: Bacteria; Pseudomonadati; Pseudomonadota; Betaproteobacteria. The record is from RNAcentral.
CGGUAACGCGGGGCAACCUGGCGACGAGUGGCGAACGGGUGAGUAAUAUAUCGGAACGUGCCCAGUAGUGGGGGAUAGCCCGGCGAAAGCCGGAUUAAUACCGCAUGAGACCUGAGGGUGAAAGCGGGGGAUCGCAAGACCUCGCGCUAUUGGAGCGGCCGAUAUCAGAUUAGCUAGUUGGUGGGGUAAAGGCCUACCAAGGCAACGAUCUGUAGUUGGUCUGAGAGGACGACCAGCCACACUGGGACUGAGACACGGCCCAGACUCCUACGGGAGGCAGCAGUGGGGAAUUUUGGACAAUGGGCGCAAGCCUGAUCCAGCAAUGCCGCGUGCAGGAAGAAGGCCUUCGGGUUGUAAACUGCUUUUGUCAGGGAAGAAAUCUUCUGGGUUAAUACCUCGGGAGGAUGACGGUACCUGAAGAAUAAGCACCGGCUAACUACGUGCCAGCAGCCGCGGUAAUACGUAGGGUGCGAGCGUUAAUCGGAAUUACUGGGCGUAAAGCGUGCGCAGGCGGCUUUGCAAGACAGAUGUGAAAUCCCCGGGCUCAACCUGGGAACUGCAUUUGUGACUGCAAGGCUAGAGUACGGCAGAGGGGGAUGGAAUUCCGCGUGUAGCAGUGAAAUGCGUAGAUAUGCGGAGGAACACCAAUGGCGAAGGCAAUCCCCUGGGCCUGUACUGACGCUCAUGCACGA